AAUAGCUUUGCAAGGCUUGGCACUUGCCCAGUGGAAGACCAACCAAAUGAUCCUGCCAGUUCAGGACUGGAUCAGUAGAGAGGGUGGUGCCAGCUCCUCCUGUCCAAGCAGCCCUUCCCAGGAGCUCAGCGUGGACACCCUGAUAAGCUGCUGGAGGAACCGCUGAGCACACGCUUUGCCUUUGCAGUUAUUUCUGCAGAAGUUGUGAAAGCAGAGAGGAACUGCUUCCAAACUGCUGAGUGUACCUGAUGUCAUAAACCAACCACACAAGUGGCUCGUCCUGGCUGGUACCAGCAUCCGGGCACCUUGAGCAUCAAUGGUCCAGCUCUGCCACAGGAGCCAUGUCAUUCACAACUUCUCCAGAGCUGUGGGACCCCUUUCUUAGCACCAUAACCCACACUCUCCCAUGAGCACCCAAACACUUGUGGGUGUUUUCUUCAGGAAAGCAAGGCUGGCACUUGCUCUACAUCUCAGCAGACUUCCCUGAAAAUCUCUUUCAUAACUCCAUGUGCAGUAAUGGAGGGGUGUAUGCAGCCAGCAGUAUUGAGAGGAAGAAAUCUCUAUCAGCUGCCAGAAGUGACUCACGUAGAAGGAAAAAGGUGGACCUAAAAAGCAAACUACACAUCAGGACUAAAGUGUUGUACCUUCCUCCUCCUUUACUAAGCAGAAAGAGCAUCAGAAUUGAAAGCCAGCUUAUUUUUUGGGAAACAAAUGUCAAAUAACUGGAGAGCUUCAAGUGCCUGAUCUUUUUAUAAUAAAACCAAUGGGAUGUUUAAUUUGCCUAUUUUCCUAACACAUAAUAAAAUAUCUGGCAAACAUAAGUGAGAAAACCACUUAUGUUAAAAAAUUCUGUUUUCACUUC
Columba livia (rock pigeon) is the source of this 862-nucleotide long non-coding RNA. RefSeq lists it as uncharacterized. NCBI's taxonomy places the organism in Eukaryota, Metazoa, Chordata, Aves, Columbiformes, Columbidae. The record is from RefSeq and is a predicted model, not a curated record. The transcript is spliced from 3 exons.